AAAGAUGAAAAGAACUUUGAAAAGAGAGUUAAACAGUACGUGAAAUUGUUGAAAGGGAAACGAUUGAAGUCAGUCAUACCAACGGGAAAUCAACCUUUUGAGUUCGGUCUCGUGGGUUUUGAAGAGUUUCAAAGCCUUCGGAUUCGCGGGAUUGGGAUCUCUUGGCGUACUUUUUCGUACGGUUAGUCAACAUCGGUUUUGAAUGUCAUAAAAUGACUGGAGGAAUGUAGCUUCGAUCUCGUAUUGAAGUGUUAUAGCCUUUGGUAGAUGUGAUGUUUGAGACCGAGGAUUGCAACGGAUACCCUUCAGGGCUAUUCGUCUGAUCUCUGAUACGUUGCCUUGAUGUUGAAAGCUUGCUUAUGAUGUUAGGGUAUUACGGUCAAAAGGUUAGAACGAAUUACAUUCGUUAAGGAUGUUGACGUAAUGACUUUAAACGACCCGUCUU
RNAcentral lists this ribosomal RNA (445 nucleotides) under Funneliformis mosseae. RNAcentral's name for it is "LSU rRNA". It matches the Rfam family "Eukaryotic large subunit ribosomal RNA", at positions 360 to 655 of the family's 3401-position model. The record is from RNAcentral. Lineage: Eukaryota; Fungi; Glomeromycota; Glomeromycetes; Glomerales; Glomeraceae.